RNAcentral lists this ribosomal RNA (460 nucleotides) under uncultured bacterium. RNAcentral's name for it is "partial 16S ribosomal RNA". It matches the Rfam family "Bacterial small subunit ribosomal RNA", at positions 338 to 795 of the family's 1533-position model. The record is from RNAcentral.
CCUACGGGGGGCAGCAGUGAGGAAUAUUGGUCAAUGGACGAGAGUCUGAACCAGCCAAGUAGCGUGAAGGAUGACUGCCCUAUGGGUUGUAAACUUCUUUUAUAUGGGAAUAAAAUGUUCCACGUGUGGGAUUUUGUAUGUACCAUAUGAAUAAGGAUCGGCUAACUCCGUGCCAGCAGCCGCGGUAAUACGGAGGAUCCGAGCGUGAUCCGGAUUUAUUGGGUUUAAAGGGAGCGUAGGUGGGUUGUUAAGUCAGUUGUGAAAGUUUGGGGCUCAACCGUAAAAUUGCAGUUGAAACUGGCAGUCUGGAGUACAGUAGAGGUAGGCGGAAUUCGUGGUGUAGCGGUGAAAUGCUUAGAUAUCACGAAGAACUCCGAUUGCGAAGGCAGCUCACUGGACUGCAACUGACACUGAGGCUCGAAAGUGUGGGUAUCAAACAGGAUUAGAUACCCGAGUAGUC